CCCACAACCCACACGGCGGUCGAAGCAGAAUCGACGGCGACGGAGGAGAUGAGGUGGAAAGUUUGGCGAGUUGGGGAAGAUGACGAUGAGAGCUGUAGAGGAAAAUCCAAAUGUUAAUUUUGUUUGGUUUUUGAGGAUUAUUCUUUUGAUGUAAUUGAAUGACGUGGAGCCUUGUUGAGGAUAGCGUAGUUAAAGUAUUAUCAUUAUAUAUGACGUGGAGCAUUGUUGAAGAUAUCAUCCGUGUUAAGUUUGAUCGUUAAUUCGACGAUCAAUUUUUAAUUAUGUGUCACAAAAAGCA
Molecule: long non-coding RNA, 298 nt
Filed under: Linum usitatissimum (flax)
Lineage: Eukaryota; Viridiplantae; Streptophyta; Magnoliopsida; Malpighiales; Linaceae
Description: long non-coding RNA (LUSI_LNC008337)
Source: RNAcentral